AGCGUUUUUGCAUUUCUCCAUCGCCUUGUGAGCCACCAUCGGUAUUUCCAUUUUCGUUUGCUACUUCCCAUCAUCACUAGUGCUUCCCUCAUAUGUCGCCGCACUAUCUCUAGUCUCGCUUGGCCGUUUGUGGCACUUCUAGCAUCUGAAUCUUUGGAUUUCUAGAUAUGACAUUGAAAUUCGCAGAUAUAGAGACUAGAGGA
This 203-nucleotide unclassified non-coding RNA is filed under the name Hevea brasiliensis (rubber tree). The record is from RNAcentral. Lineage: Eukaryota; Viridiplantae; Streptophyta; Magnoliopsida; Malpighiales; Euphorbiaceae.